CCAAUAGCGUAUAUUAAAGUUGUUGCAGUUAAAAAGCUCGUAGUUGAAUUUCGGGGUUCAUCCAUUGGUCAGGCUUAAUUGUCUGUACUGGUGUGAUGAAUCUCUACCUUCUGAGGAACUUUCAUGCCAUUUAUUUGGUGUGAUGGGAAAUCAGGACUGUUACUUUGAAAAAAUUAGAGUGUUUAAAGCAGGCUAACGUCUGAAUACAUUAGCAUGGAAUAAUGAAAUAGGACGGACUGAUUCUAUUUCGUUGGUUUCUAGGAUCACCGUAAUGAUUAAUAGGGAUAGUUGGGGGCAUUAGUAUUCAAUUGUCAGAGGUGAAAUUCUUGGAUUUAUUGAAGACUAACUACUGCGAAAGCAUUUGCCAAGGAUGUUUUCAUUAAUCAAGAACGAAAGUUAGGGGAUCGAAGACGAUCAGAUACCGUCGUAGUCUUAACCAUAAACUAUGCCGACUAGGGAUCGGACGAAGUUAAUUUUAUAAUGACGCGUUCAGCACCUUACG
This 502-nucleotide ribosomal RNA is filed under the name uncultured Glomeromycotina. RNAcentral's name for it is "partial small subunit ribosomal RNA". It matches the Rfam family "Eukaryotic small subunit ribosomal RNA", at positions 591 to 1092 of the family's 1831-position model. Lineage: Eukaryota; Fungi; Glomeromycota. The record is from RNAcentral.